UACGUAGGACCCAAGCGUUGUCCGGAUUUACUGGGUGUAAAGGGAGCGCAGGCGGAUUAUUAAGUCGAUUGUGAAAUCUUGCGGCUCAACCGCAAAACAGCAGUCGAUACUGAUGAUCUUGAGUGUGGAAGAGAGUGGCGGAAUUCAUGGUGUAGCAGUGAAAUGCGUAGAUAUCAUGAAGAACACCGGUUGCGAAGGCGGCCACUUAGUCCAUUACUGACGCUCAUGCUCGAAAGCGUGGGGAUCAAAC
Molecule: ribosomal RNA, 250 nt
Filed under: uncultured bacterium
Lineage: Bacteria
Description: partial 16S ribosomal RNA
Rfam family: Bacterial small subunit ribosomal RNA
Source: RNAcentral